AUUGAAGGAUAACAUGUUCAUAUGCUGCACAUCUCUGUAAACAAUGUCCUUGUAGUCAUCAGUAAUUUUUUCUUUUAUUACUUUCUACCUCGUACAUUUUCAAAACGAACUCGUUACUUUUGGUUUAGCCUGUGUGCAUAUUGUUGCACAGUUGCUGCUAGCUAAAGAUCCAGCUGCUGUAUUUCACAGGGAGAGAAAAGAAAGAGCUAACUUCACUCAGAGAUGGAGAAAGACACGAAAGACAGGACACUACAGGAAGAAGAGAAGUUAUAUUUAAAGAGACGAUGGAGACCUCCCAGGAUGGGAAAGAAAGAAGCUUCAAAUUCAGGUCCUGCAUUGACGCCGAUCACACCAGGACAUUUGAUCUGAAGUCGCAGCCACAACCUCUGACUUCCUCACAGCGCUUCUUUUUCACACACGAAGGGAAAUGUCAAAUGUUUGCAUUUUCAGAGGGAGCUGGGUGUUAUUUUUCUUGGCAGGCUUGAGCUCAGCAGCUGGAGACUUGCAGUCAGGUCAGAGAGGCUGACAAGGUUGCUACACCACCCCCUGAGCUUUUUUUUUUCCUUCUUCUCCUUCUUAAAUGGGGUGGCAAAGGAGAAAAUGGGAGCCUAUCAGGAGAAUCUUUGGUUUUGUAAAUUCACAAGUAUCAAUUAUAAAUUGAGAGGUGGGUCCACAACUGUAAGAAUAUGGCUAAUACACCGAAGCACACAAUUCAGUGUCAUCUCUGCUUACCUUUAUUCUAAACACAGCUCAUGCUUCUGCUUUCAGCUACAUUAGUGAUCAGUGGGGGUUAGUUUAGUUGAUUGCUUUUUAUUUUUACCAGAAAAGGCCCAUUGAGAUCAGUCUUUUUUUUUUUUUUCAUAAAAACAAAAGACCCAGCAAAAGUUGCAAUCUGUCUUCUCUUUUGUUUAGAACAUUCUUUAACUCAGUAAAAUUUUUCCAAAUUUUAUAAACUCUGUUUAACGAAUUCAGAGGUCCAGAUGCCCUUACAUUCAUUAAACAGUGCAACCAUGGGUACUAAAUUAUGGGUAUGGACAAGUGCCAUGCAUGUUUUGUUUCUGUACAUGUUAAAAUAAAUGGCCUGCUUACAUUUUUUUUAAUUUAAAAUGGUAUAAGCUGAAAGUAUUCCUUCUCUUUGUAAUUUCACUGUCUGAAAUAAAAUGUGCGUUGACUCAUACUCUCCUGGAAGAAAUAAACGUGGUGUCCGAUUAGUAUUAAUGUGAUUAUAGGACUGAUUCUGCCAACAGUUAAACACUUUUCUGUUGUUAACCUGUCUUGGGGUGCACUACAAAAGUAAAAGCAACAUGCUGUAUUCUGUAUGUAUUUCAGACUGUAUAGUUGGUCAAGCAGUUGAUAAUCUAACCAUUCGAGGCCCUCUGUACAAACACACUCGUAAGUACAGUGUUUGGACAACCCAUCUGUCUCUUCUUCAUUGGUGGAGUCCUUUCCAAGUAAACUCUUUGACUCAGUUGCUAGGAAACUUCUACUCUGUCUCUGCCCUCCUGACUGCGAGCAGCCGGCUCGCUCCUCCUCGUGAUGUAAGGACGCUGUAACAGAAACACAUGUCAUACU
This is a long non-coding RNA of Astatotilapia calliptera (eastern happy), 1572 nucleotides long. NCBI's taxonomy places the organism in Eukaryota, Metazoa, Chordata, Actinopteri, Cichliformes, Cichlidae. The record is from Ensembl.